Molecule: ribosomal RNA, 247 nt
Filed under: uncultured bacterium
Lineage: Bacteria
Description: partial 16S ribosomal RNA
Rfam family: Bacterial small subunit ribosomal RNA
Source: RNAcentral
GCCUACGGGGCGCAGCAGUGGGGAAUAUUGCACAGUGGGCGAAAGCCUGAUGCAGCAACGCCGCGUGAGCGAUGAAGGCCUUCGGGUCGUAAAGCUCUGUCCUCAAGGAAGAUAAUGACGGUACUUGAGGAGGAAGCCCCGGCUAACUACGUGCCAGCAGCCGCGGUAAUACGUAGGGGGCUAGCGUUAUCCGGAAUUAAUGGGCGUAAAGGGUGCGUAGGUGGUAUGUCAAGUCAAGGGUGAAAUC